UGGUGGCUCAAUUGGUAUUGAG
Molecule: non-coding RNA, 22 nt
Filed under: Arabidopsis thaliana (thale cress)
Lineage: Eukaryota; Viridiplantae; Streptophyta; Magnoliopsida; Brassicales; Brassicaceae
Source: RNAcentral